This 85-nucleotide transfer RNA is filed under the name Felis catus (domestic cat). It matches the Rfam family "tRNA". From Rfam's summary of the family: Transfer RNA (tRNA) molecules are approximately 80 nucleotides in length. Their secondary structure includes four short double-helical elements and three loops (D, anti-codon, and T loops). Lineage: Eukaryota; Metazoa; Chordata; Mammalia; Carnivora; Felidae. The record is from Rfam by way of RNAcentral. RNAcentral also lists the same sequence under 1 other name.
ACCUGGGUGGCUCAGUCGGUUGAGCAUCUGACUUCAGCUCAGGUCGUGAUCUCACAGUUCGUGGGUUCCAUCCCCGCAUUGGGCU